This 383-nucleotide ribosomal RNA is filed under the name uncultured Crustomastix. Its description in RNAcentral is "SSU rRNA". It matches the Rfam family "Eukaryotic small subunit ribosomal RNA", at positions 587 to 975 of the family's 1831-position model. Lineage: Eukaryota; Viridiplantae; Chlorophyta; Mamiellophyceae; Mamiellales. The record is from RNAcentral.
AGCUCCAAUAGCGUAUAUUUAAGUUGUUGCAGUUAAAAAGCUCGUAGUUGGAUUUCGGGUGUCAUCUGCCGGUCCGCCGUUUCGGUGUGCACUGGCGGGCGUCGCCUUUCUGUCGAGGACGCGCUCCUGUCCUUUAUUGGUCGGGACGCGGAGUCGGCGAGGUUACUUUGAAAAAAUUAGAGUGUUCAAAGCGGGCUUACGCUUGAAUAUAUUAGCAUGGAAUAACACUAUAGGACUCCUGUUCUAUUUUGUUGGUCUUCGGGACGGGAGUAAUGAUUAAGAGGAACAGUUGGGGGCAUUCGUAUUUCAUUGUCAGAGGUGAAAUUCUUGGAUUUAUGAAAGACGAACUUCUGCGAAAGCAUUUGCCAAGGAUGUUUUCAUUA